AUGACAGUACUGGAAACUGAAAUCCUCUUUCUCUAAAGAACAGGUACAGCACAGCGGUAGCAGUGCAGACCUUCCCCAUGCUGCCUCGUCAAUUUAUCUCAGCCCAGGCCUAGACAGACCACCUCUAGGGAAGUUCAGUCUCUUUUCUCGCUCACUGUUAGGCUUUU
RNAcentral lists this small RNA (167 nucleotides) under Chelonoidis abingdonii (Abingdon island giant tortoise). Its description in RNAcentral is "TUC338 (ENSCABG00000019994.1)". The record is from RNAcentral. Lineage: Eukaryota; Metazoa; Chordata; Testudines; Testudinidae.